Molecule: ribosomal RNA, 450 nt
Filed under: uncultured organism
Description: partial 16S ribosomal RNA
Rfam family: Bacterial small subunit ribosomal RNA
Source: RNAcentral
ACACUCCUACGGGAGGCAGCAGUGGGGAAUAUUGGACAAUGGGCGCAAGCCUGAUCCAGCCAUGCCGCGUGAGUGAUGAAGGCCCUAGGGUUGUAAAGCUCUUUCACCGGUGAAGAAAUGACGGUAACCGGAGAAGAAGCCCCGGCUAACUUCGUGCCAGCAGCCGCGGUAAUACGAAGGGGGCUAGCGUUGUUCGGAUUUACUGGGCGUAAAGCGCACGUAGGCGGACUAUUAAGUCAGGGGUGAAAUCCCGGGGCUCAACCCCGGAACUGCCUUUGAUACUGGUAGUCUUGAGUUCGAGAGAGGUGAGUGGAAUUCCGAGUGUAGAGGUGAAAUUCGUAGAUAUUCGGAGGAACACCAGUGGCGAAGGCGGCUCACUGGCUCGAUACUGACGCUGAGGUGCGAAAGCGUGGGGAGCAAACAGGAUUAGAAACCCCAGUAGUCCCAUGA